UACGAAGGGGGCUAGCGUUGUUCGGAAUUACUGGGCGUAAAGCGCGCGCAGGCGGUUUUUCAAGUCAGUGGUGAAAGCCCGGAGCUCAACUCCGGAAAUGCCAUUGAAACUGCAAAACUUGAGGACGAGAGAGGUGAGUGGAAUUCCCAGUGUAGAGGUGAAAUUCGUAGACAUUGGGAAGAACACCGGUGGCGAAGGCGGCUCACUGGCUCGUUUCUGACGCUCAGGCGCGAUAGCGUGGGGAUCAAACAGG
This 253-nucleotide ribosomal RNA is filed under the name uncultured bacterium. RNAcentral's name for it is "partial 16S ribosomal RNA". It matches the Rfam family "Bacterial small subunit ribosomal RNA", at positions 524 to 776 of the family's 1533-position model. The record is from RNAcentral.